Molecule: long non-coding RNA, 348 nt
Filed under: Ananas comosus (pineapple)
Lineage: Eukaryota; Viridiplantae; Streptophyta; Magnoliopsida; Poales; Bromeliaceae
Description: long non-coding RNA (ACOM_LNC025289)
Source: RNAcentral
UCUUCCAACGAAUAGAGUUGACUACAUUGUGUUAGUAGCUGAAAUCUGUUGGUGCAGCACUUAGCCCCGCAUAGCACUUAGCUCUUACACUUUCGACUGGCAUUUAGCUUUGAUAUCAAUCGUAAUAACUCGACCCGCUAGCAAUAAUAACUCAUUGGGUCCAAACCACCGACCCAAAAUACUUAAGUCCAAUUGUCAUUACUGACGUGUAGACAUCAUAUAUUCUAAUCAAAAUCAUUUUUCCAUCAAAUGUGAGACUAUUAGAGCAUUACAAUUGGUAAAUUAAUUGUAUUCUUUAUUUGAAUAGCCAAUGGCUGAGAUUAAUUCUGACAGAUUUGCAGAAAAUUU